This is an RNA transcript of Carassius auratus (goldfish), 775 nucleotides long. It is a transcript of the gene named coatomer subunit zeta-1-like, with no coding region annotated. The transcript has 10 exons. The record is from RefSeq and is a predicted model, not a curated record. Lineage: Eukaryota; Metazoa; Chordata; Actinopteri; Cypriniformes; Cyprinidae.
UGUCUAUAGAGGGUCAGAAAGCUCUCAGAUUUCAAAAUGAUUUCUUAAUUUGUGAUCCGAAGAUGGACAAAGGUCUUAUGGGUUUGAAUGACGUGAGGGAACCCUCGCUCUACACUGUGAAGGCUGUUUUCAUCUUAGACAACGAUGGAAACAGACUUCUUUCAAAGUACUAUGAUCCAGAACUCUAUCCCUCGAUGAAAGAGCAGAAGAAUUUUGAAAAUAACGUCUUCAACAAAACACACAAAGCUGACAAUGAAAUAGCCUUCUUAGAGGGAAUGACGAUAGUCUACAAGAGCAGCAUUGACUUGUUCUUCUAUGUAGUUGGCAGCCCUCAGGAGAAUGAGCUCAUGCUGAUGGCAGUGUUGAACUGCUUGUUUGAGUCUCUCAGUCAGAUGUUGAGGAAGAAUGUGGAGAAAAGGACUCUGCUGGAUAAUAUGGAUGGAGUGUUCCUAGUGGUGGAUGAAAUCAUCGAUGGAGGGGUGAUCCUGGAGAGUGACCCCCAGCAGGUCAUUGAAAAGGUCAACUACAGGUGUUUGUCGGAGCAAGCGUAUGGCUUCGUCCUUUUUGAUUACAUCACUGGUAACGUGGAGGGCCAAGGAGAGAGGCGGCAGCUACUGUAGCUCUCCUUCCCUCCCUUCCCUCUCUCUCCCGUUGAUUUAGAGCUGGAUAGACACAGGAGAGAGAGAGAGAGACGAGGGCAGAUGACAGCCCAUUAUCAGAACAGAGUGUGGCACAGGUGUUACAAUCAGCAAAGGAGCAGAUCAAGUGGUCCGAU